Molecule: long non-coding RNA, 2314 nt
Organism: Cyanistes caeruleus (blue tit)
Lineage: Eukaryota; Metazoa; Chordata; Aves; Passeriformes; Paridae
Source: RefSeq, a predicted model, not a curated record
GCCGUGUGCCAGUCAGCGUGGGAGAGGAUCCGGCUCCUUGUCACUCCCGGAGCUGAUACAUGGGAAUCUUGCCCUCCUUCCUCUCCGCUCUGCCUUCUCUCGACAUCACGUGUGUGGGAGGGGGUAAACGAAGGCGGGGAGGAUUUAAGGGAAAUGUGAGAAGUGAGUGAAAUUAUCUGAAAGUCUGAGAUAUUCUCCGAGAUUAAUCCCUCCUGUCGGGAAGGGGGUGGACUUUUGGACCACAGCCUGCGUUGUACGUGCGUGCUGUUUUUGUGCAGGGAGUAAUUGCAAUACGUAGCAUAAAAUGAUGUUAGUGCGGUAUAGGAGAGCAGCCCCCCCUGUGCCAUUGAAGAGCCCGUGGAGGAGUUCAGGAGUGACAGCCUCUCACGGCAGCGACAGAAAGGAGGGGUGGCUCCCAGCCCACUGAACUUCUCUCUUCCACGGUUCCACAGUGCAGCGCUCCUGUUCCUGGGUGUGUCAGCUCCGUAUCACGAGCCUUCUGCCAUCUGUUUAUUCAGUCUUGGGAGAGUUCAAGCACUGCACCUUCAGCUGUAUGGUAUUGAACAGUCAUUCCACAGUCUUACCACCACUGGGUAGUCUGGAGUAUUUUUGUUCCAUGAAGUGUCUGGACCACUUAGAAUGAUGAUCAAUCCUGGAAAACUCACAAGAGGUUCACAGUUUGCACAGAUGUACUUGAAGAUUAAAAGUGAAGGUGGGAGCAGACAGCAGAGAAGAGCUGUUAAAUGGCCAAGUAAACCAGCUGAAUUUUAAGGUGGAUAGAAUGCUGUUCCAGAUGAAGAGUGUGAUGUGGAGAGGAACAGAGAAGGAGUCCAGAAGGAGAAAAGUACAACGAAGUACAGGAGAAAAUAAUCUUUGCAAAGGUUCAGUGAGAAGGAAAAAGAACUGAAAUUUCUUGCAGCAAGGGAGAAAAUGAGUGAAAGGAUUUGAAGAUAAAAGUAACUUGGAUGAGAAGAGUGCUUUUGAUAGGUGAAUUUUUCCUAGUCUGGAUAGCAAGAAGCAAGUGAAUUUUCUCCUGCUCUGAAUCAGUGGGUGUUGGAGAGAUUUACAAAGCCUGAUAAAACACCAUUGCCUGCAGCAGCUCACUGCCAUUUAAUCUCCCCACCAUGAAAAGAACUUUGAGAGUUUCUGAACUGUUCAGGAUCAUAAAGAGAGGAUCAGGAAGCAGAAGCCAGGUUCUUUGUGUCUGCCACAAAGGUGAAUUUUAGUGUGUCCUGUUUUGAAUUUUGUGGAGAAACAAAUGAUUGGAAGGUAAAGGGAUUCUAAAAUAGUCCUAAGGUUUGUGAUAAGGUAAAAUGAGUCUGACAUAUAACAUCCUUUCUCCUGUCUUAGGACUUGCCUUCACUGUAGAAAUUUACAACUUUAAAGUGACACAGUGGCAGCACCACAGUGGAUGAACACAAACGUGGAUGUAGCCCUCUGCAAAGAUGCUGGUCAAAGACAAAACAGAAUAGAUGAUUUCAUUUGGAAGGGACCUACAAUUAUCAUCUUGUCCAUCUGCCUGCCCAGUUCAGGGCUGACUAAAUUGAAGCAUAUUAUUACAGCCAUUGUUCAAAUGGCUUUUAAACACUAACAGGCUUAGGGCCCAGCCUCACACCAGUAAGAAGAGUUUAUGUCAUUGACCUUGCUUUAGAGACUGCAGGAAUGUGAAACCUGACUUUUCCUCGUUCUGCUGAAGAUAAGGAGUUUUUUCAUUAAAGGAAGAAGUUAAUCCCUCUUCCCCUUCCUAGGGUUUUUGAGCAUUAUGUUAUCUAGGGAGACCCAAAAUGAAAAUGCUGUAAGAACUUGGAAAAAAAAAAAAAAAUCACAUGCCAUUCUAUCUAAUUAUAUUUCACUUGUUGAUUUUUGAUGUUAUAAACUUAGGUUUCAUUCUGUGUAGAGUCAAGUUAAAAAUAAAUGGGCAGAAUGUGAAUAUUUGAUUAAAAAUGCUAAUUUCCACAGUUUGUUCUCUCUCCAUCUUACUACUUAGAAGCUGCUCUCAACCCUCCUUUCUUCAGCAAUGCAGACUUUGUAAUGAAGGCAGUUCAAACUCAGUGUUUCCAUUCCAAAGGAGUUACAGACCAAGCAAAUUUUCUCUAACUACUUGACAGCUCCUCAAAAGGCCUAGCAAUGCCACCCCGAAUCACACAAUAUUUGGUGUUUCUUUAGAACCUUGUCCCCUGAGGGCCUUGAUUAGAGGAGAAUCUUUACUUCUUGCAGGAAAGGAAAAAAUGUAACUCUUACGGCUGUGGAGCAGGACUUGAAGAUAAUGAUCCUGUCUCAAAAGUAAAAAAAAAAAAAAAAAAGAGGCGGUGGG